CUUGUCUGUGGCUGUGCUAAAACAUCAUGACUGACCGUGAUGCAUGGGAGAAGGGAUUUAUUCGGGCUUGCAGUUUCAGAGGGAUGAGUCCAUCACAGCAGGGACAGCAAGUCACAGGCAUGGCAACUGAAUUGGGAAGCUGAGAACCCAUUGACUCAGCCACAGGGGGAAGUGUUCGAGGAAGAAUUCUCAUCUGACAGAUGGUAGUGGUGCUGCCAGAGAAACUGGGUACAACCUGAUUUCAAUGUAAUUGGAAGGUGAGGAGAGAUGUGGAGAGAAGACCUCGCAGGUUGAUACGACCUCCUCACCAGGACAUCUCCACCGUUCCUCACUCCAUCCCACAGUCUGGCUCCUGCUUUCUGCUCACAUCCUAGAUUGCUGGCUGGGCCAAGAAUCUCAGCCGGACAUCUCCUACAGUUUACAAGGUGUGGGGUAUCAGCUAGAAAACUUGGUGAACUGGGAGCAGAAGGCAUCAUCAGAAGGUCAACUCACAGUAAGGGACAGAAUCAUCUGAAGAUCUGCCUACCCACAAUGAGGCAUUGAGUCAAAGACCUGUCCAUCACAGCAACAGGCAGAGUUAUCGAAAGACCCUCCCACUCAUGUCAGAAAGCUGAGAGAGACGGAUGCUGCCAUGCUCUGAUUUUUAUGUGGGCCAGGAUUCCAGCCCAGGCGUCUUCCCUUCUCGGUUGAAGUUCCCUGGAAAUUCCCUCACAGAUACGUACAAAGAUGAACCUUCCAGAUGACCCUAAAUGCUGUCAGUGACUGUGAAGACCCUCGUCCUCGGUCUCUCGUAUGGAAGUUCUGGUGACAAAGCCUCGUUUUCCAUGUUUGUGAAUUUUCACCCUGGCUUGUUAGAUAACAUUCCUGAGUGUAGCCACUAAGCUGAACAUAAAAUGUCUCUUAUUCACACAGCUGGAUGUUUGUUUGAACCAACUCUCCGCCUUCCCGGGCUCUCUACAGCAUGUGGUUAUGUAUGACCUUUUAACGUCUCCUGUUUUGGAUAAUCAGAGAUUUCCAUCAUGUAUAGAUUGGAGCUUGACUUACAGGCAGUUUUAAGCUGCCUGGUAUGGGUGCUGCAUGAGGGCCAAGGACUCUUAAAUGUUUAGCCAUCUUUCCAGCGCCUAGAAUGAUGUAAUUUAUAUGCCUGUAGAGGUCACUGGCUUCUUUGCAAAACGUUUGUAUUAUUUUGUACUUGUUUUUCAUAUAAUUGAAGAAAUGUGACAGCUAGAUCUACUGUAAGUUCAAGAAAUUUUCAAGUCAGAAUUUGAUUACUGCCCUUUAGAAAAUUGCACUUCAUUAAGUUUUAUUUCAUCUCUGCACUUCCUUAAUUUUUAAUCCUCUUUCUUUUUCAUAGUUUAUACAAUUUCCUUUAUUAGCUCACCUUCCUGUGGUGCAGACAAGCGUUUUGCAGACAAAAGUUGAAGAUGUUGAGUUGUCAAAGUAUGAGGUGAUUAUUGCACGAGAGUUUCCUUGGGUGUUUAUGACAACGAGAAUCAGUAUGGAUAGGUAUACCUACUGUGAAUAAGAAGUUAUCCCCAAGGGGGGAAUCACUCAACAUGAAGGAAAGAAGAACUUUUGUUGUCUUUGGAAGAGAGAACAGGCAGAUAAAUGGUGUUGAGCAAAUAUUUGUCCUUCCUGGCUUGUGUCUGUCUGGAGUGACAUUAUCUCUCAGGCACUCAGGGAAGCAGAUACAAUGUAUCUUUGCCAUCAUAUAACAUCGUAAGUCAGGAGGGAUCCCUGUAUUCCUGUCUGAAAUGGUCCCUCAUCUCUCACUCAUAUAGCAAUUACCUGAAGUUUUGUUUCUGAAUAGAAGAAUCUAUGUCGUGCUGGAAGAAGCAAGCUCUUCCUCCUUGUUCUCCACCAUAACAAGGUGAUGUAGCCCACCUCAGUGGUGUGGGACCACAGAGCAUCAAAGGGACACCAAGUGGGGAUGGGAGGUGUUCAUGCAAGGAUGUGUAACAAAUGGAUUUGAUGCAGGAUGCC
Long non-coding RNA from Arvicola amphibius (Eurasian water vole), 1983 nucleotides. RefSeq lists it as uncharacterized. The transcript is spliced from 5 exons. The record is from RefSeq and is a predicted model, not a curated record. Lineage: Eukaryota; Metazoa; Chordata; Mammalia; Rodentia; Cricetidae.